UGCCAGACUCCUACGGGAGGCAGCAGUGAGGAAUAUUGGUCAAUGGACGAGAGUCUGAACCAGCCAAGUAGCGUGAAGGAUGACUGCCCUAUGGGUUGUAAACUUCUUUUAUAUGGGAAUAAAAUGUUCCGCGUGUGGGAUUUUGUAUGUACUUUAUGAAUAAGGAUCGGCUAACUCCGUGCCAGCAGCCGCGGUAAUACGGAGGAUCCGAGCGUUAUCCGGAUUUAUUGGGUUUAAAGGGAGCGUAGAUGGGUUGUUAAGUCAGUUGUGAAAGUUUGCGGCUCAACCGUAAAAUUGCAAUUGAUACUGGCAGCCUUGAGUACAGUUGAGGUAGGCGGAAUUCGUGGUGUAGCGGUGAAAUGCGUAGAUAUCGAGAGGAACACUCGUGGCGAAGGCGGGUUCCUGGACAUUAACUGACGCUGAGGCACGAAGGCCAGGGGAGCGAAAGGGAUUAGAUACCCCCGUA
Molecule: ribosomal RNA, 466 nt
Filed under: uncultured bacterium
Lineage: Bacteria
Description: bacterial SSU rRNA
Rfam family: Bacterial small subunit ribosomal RNA
Source: RNAcentral